GACAGGGGCUAAUUCUGCCUGCUUGUCUUGCAGCACUGCAGAUCCAUGGAAGAAACAGCUGAACAGAUGAGCCCUGCAUUCCUGCUGAGCUGUUUGGCUUGGAGGGAUAUUUGAAGAGUAAAAAAAAUGAAUGAAAAAAAAUUUCUCAGUCAUGAGCCUUCAGUCUUUGCUCAGGAGAGACCACCACAUUGUCAAGACUCUGACAGCACAUGUCUGUGAAAACACACUCUGCUUACCUGCUACAAAUGUUGUGUGGGUAUUGUUUUAGAGGUGGUUUCCCUGCAGUGUGGUUUACACUGUGAUAAAAAUACUAGGG
RNAcentral lists this long non-coding RNA (316 nucleotides) under Serinus canaria (Common canary). RNAcentral describes it as "lncRNA (ENSSCAG00000012646.1)". Lineage: Eukaryota; Metazoa; Chordata; Aves; Passeriformes; Fringillidae. The record is from RNAcentral.